This 253-nucleotide ribosomal RNA is filed under the name uncultured bacterium. RNAcentral's name for it is "partial 16S ribosomal RNA". It matches the Rfam family "Bacterial small subunit ribosomal RNA", at positions 524 to 776 of the family's 1533-position model. The record is from RNAcentral.
UACGAAGGGGGCUAGCGUUGUUCGGAAUUACUGGGCGUAAAGCGCGCGCAGGCGGUUCUCCAAGUCAGUGGUGAAAGCCCGGAGCUCAACUCCGGAACUGCCAUUGAAACUGUUGAACUUGAGGACGAGAGAGGUGAGUGGAAUUCCCAGUGUAGAGGUGAAAUUCGUAGAUAUUGGGAAGAACACCGGUGGCGAAGGCGGCUCACUGGCUCGUAUCUGACGCUCAGGCGCGAUAGCGUGGGGAUCAAACAGG